GAUGAACGCUGGCGGCGUGCCUAAUACAUGCAAGUCGAGCGAACGGACGAGAAGCUUGCUUCUCUGAUGUUAGCGGCGGACGGGUGAGUAACACGUGGAUAACCUACCUAUAAGACUGGGAUAACUUCGGGAAACCGGAGCUAAUACCGGAUAAUAUUUUGAACCGCAUGGUUCAAAAGUGAAAGACGGUCUUGCUGUCACUUAUAGAUGGAUCCGCGCUGCAUUAGCUAGUUGGUAAGGUAACGGCUUACCAAGGCAACGAUGCAUAGCCGACCUGAGAGGGUGAUCGGCCACACUGGAACUGAGACACGGUCCAGACUCCUACGGGAGGCAGCAGUAGGGAAUCUUCCGCAAUGGGCGAAAGCCUGACGGAGCAACACCGCGUGAGUGAUGAAGGUCUUCGGAUCGUAAAACUCUGUUAUUAGGGAAGAACAUAUGUGUAGGUAACUGUGCACAUCUUGACGGUACCUAAUCAGAAAGCCACGGCUAACUACGUG
This 497-nucleotide ribosomal RNA is filed under the name uncultured bacterium. RNAcentral describes it as "partial 16S ribosomal RNA". It matches the Rfam family "Bacterial small subunit ribosomal RNA", at positions 28 to 507 of the family's 1533-position model. The record is from RNAcentral.